CUCUGAAGUCAUAUUCCCCUGUUUUCACGUGCUCGGUGCAGCAGUGCAGAAAUGCUGGAGCAGAUGAUCAUAGCAAUGGCUGUUCUCAUUACCCUCUUCUAUGCUGAACUUACUGAAUCCUCCUCAAGCUGCAGUCUCCACAAAGCCGAAAUAAAAAGAGUGGAUGAAAAUGCAACAGCAUUUGUGUCCUGCCCAGCACUUGCAGAGCAUGAAAACCCAUCUAUCUCUCUAUACAAGGGAGAUACAAAGCUGCACUCAACAAACCUGAGUGAUGUGGACAGUAAUCGUUCAUGGCAGCGGUUUCAGGUAUACGUAGAAAACUCCUCCGUCUCAUUUAAGAUUCUAAGGACUGAAGCCAGUGACACAGGACUCUACAAUUGCAAAAUCGACACACAAAUCAGGACAUCUGCAUCCCAGACUAUAUUGCUCAUUAAAGAUGCUCUGCAGCCCAUAGAAUCAACUGUCACUUGUCCCAUUGAUCAGACACUGCCACUUGCUGUUGGCUGUGGGGUCAUCUUUGCAUAUGAUCUGAUCAUCACUGUCUUCGUCUGUUACCUCAAAUAUAAACUCAAGAACACAGAGCCACCUGAGAAUCCCUACAUAAACACAAGACCAAGAGGAUUCCAACGACGCUGAUGAGCUCAGCAGCAUUUAUCCAGCAAAUAUCAGCAGUGUAGCAACAUUUGUACCUCCUAUCAGCUGAGCAGUACUGCCCAGAGAGUGUAUUAAACAGAUCUACUAAUUGUUCUUGUAUCUAUUGCUGUUCAGUAUAUAUGAUAGAUAUUGUAUAGUAUAUUUACACUGGGGGUCAAAGGUUUGGAAUCAUUAGGAUUUUUAAUGUUUUUGUUAGAAGUCUCUUAUGCUCAACAAGUCUGCAUUUAUUUGAUCAAAAAUAAAGGGAAACAGUAAUAUUGUGACAUAUUAUUACAAAAUAACUGUUUUUCAUUUGUAUGCAUUUUAAAAUGUAAAUUAUUCCUGUGAAGACAAAGCUAAGUUUCAGCAGCCAUUACUCAAGUGUCACAUUAUUAUCCUUUAGAAAUCAUCCGAAAUAUGCUCAUUUGGUGCGGAAGAAACAUGACUUAUUAGUAUGUUUUUAUUAAGAAAUUCAUAAUAAAGCAAGGAUGCAUUAAAUUGCUCAAAAGUAACAGUAAAAAGAUUUAAUGUUAGAUGUUUAUUUAAUGUUUCUCAUGUUAGAAAAAAUAUUUUUUGCUGUCCUUUAGCAGGGAGUUUUUUAACUGCUGGAUACUUCACCUGUUUUCACCAUUUAUAAUAUUAAGAAAUGUUUCUUGAGCAGCAAGUUGCCAUAUUAGAAUGAUUUUGAUCCCCAGUGGGUGUGUAUUUUCAUUGAAACACUAUGACGC
This 1361-nucleotide long non-coding RNA is filed under the name Sinocyclocheilus grahami. Its description in RNAcentral is "lncRNA (ENSSGRG00000054495.1)". Lineage: Eukaryota; Metazoa; Chordata; Actinopteri; Cypriniformes; Cyprinidae. The record is from RNAcentral.